UAGUAUAGUGGACAGUAUCUCCGCCUGUCACGCGGAAGACCGGGGUUCGAUUCCCCG
RNAcentral lists this transfer RNA (57 nucleotides) under Anabarilius grahami. It matches the Rfam family "tRNA", at positions 8 to 63 of the family's 71-position model. Rfam says of the family: Transfer RNA (tRNA) molecules are approximately 80 nucleotides in length. Their secondary structure includes four short double-helical elements and three loops (D, anti-codon, and T loops). Further hydrogen bonds mediate the characteristic L-shaped molecular structure. tRNAs have two regions of fundamental functional importance: the anti-codon, which is responsible for specific mRNA codon recognition, and the 3' end, to which the tRNAs corresponding amino acid is attached (by aminoacyl-tRNA synthetases). tRNAs cope with the degeneracy of the genetic code in two manners: having more than one tRNA (with a specific anti-codon) for a particular amino acid; and 'wobble' base-pairing, i.e. permitting non-standard base-pairing at the 3rd anti-codon position. The record is from Rfam by way of RNAcentral. RNAcentral also lists the same sequence under 1 other name. Lineage: Eukaryota; Metazoa; Chordata; Actinopteri; Cypriniformes; Xenocyprididae.